Molecule: unclassified non-coding RNA, 319 nt
Filed under: Hevea brasiliensis (rubber tree)
Lineage: Eukaryota; Viridiplantae; Streptophyta; Magnoliopsida; Malpighiales; Euphorbiaceae
Source: RNAcentral
AUUAGGCUUGAGCUGAACUGGACAGCACAACAUACUGAUCUCCAGCACAGCUUACAGACUGCAUGGAGAUGGCAAAAGGCACAUAGAAAUGGAUAUGGAUCCCCUUUGGUGAUGGCUUCUUGAAACAUUGAGAGCAGUCCAUAGCAAAAAUUUAACGUAAACCCACCAAUGCAGCACCUGCUUGGAGCUGUGCUUCUAAUAUCUUAGAAGAGGGGGUUCCAAAGAAAAUUUUUUUGCACCAUCAUCUAAUAUAUAGUGGUAGGAGUAGCCAAUUCAUUAUAUGUAUUGUACUGAUAAUAGCUUAAUAAUAUGAUGCCCA